Equus asinus (donkey) is the source of this 3050-nucleotide long non-coding RNA. The record is from Ensembl. NCBI's taxonomy places the organism in Eukaryota, Metazoa, Chordata, Mammalia, Perissodactyla, Equidae.
GGUGACUCUUUUCAUGGGGCUCUGGUAUUCUCUCAACAGAGAGCUGAGAUUCCUGGAUUUAGGACUUUUUUCAGAAGAGUUAACCCUUCUAAUUACCCAGAAGAAAUGUUUCUUAGAAGUUUCUGGAAUUGGGCUUUUGAGUGCCCAGAUUUUUCUGAAAUAUUCGGGCAAGAGGAAUUGUCACUGAGUGCUUCCCUGGACAUGCUUCCCUGUCAUUAUUUUGAUAUUUCCAUGUCUGUGCUGAGUUACAGAGUUUACACUGCAGUGUAUGCUGUAGCUUGGGCACUGCAAAACAUGUUUCUAACCAGAUCUGAAAGGAGUUCAUGUGGCGUUAAAGGCAGCCCAGUGCCUACAUCUCAGAAGAGAAAUCUGAACUUUUGACCUCCAAUACAAUAGAACCAGACUGGGCAAAGAGACAUCCUCAGCUUGUGGAUCCAGCUCUCCCUGGAGACAACCUGGUAUGCAGAACACAGAGGGAGAGGCAGUAACAACCCAGGAUAUUGAACUUGAGAAAUGUUGCCUUUUCACUCUGUUGAUUGUUUCCUUUGCUGUGCAGGAGCUGAUGGGUGUGCAGCGACAGCUAAAAGAUGAAAUUGGGACACAAACACAGAAAAAUCCUCUAAUUCUCCAGCCUCCACCAUCAACACAAGACCACAGCAUCCCACUGACAGAGGAAUUUGAGCCUGUGGCGCAUUGAAGGUGAUGAUAACAACAACAAAAUCCAAUUGCAGAUCAACUCCUGGCCAGAUUGACUCAACCCUUCACAUGAAUGAUCUGAGAUAAGAAGAGACGUGUCCAUUUCCAGGCUUAAAUUUUAUUUAUUUCAGUCUCUAUUGUUUUACACAUUAUAUCCAGCAUUGAAUUAAAAGUUAUGUGAUACAAAAAAGCAGAAAAAAAAUACAUUGCCAAGAGAGAAAGCACCUAUCAAAGCCAGACUCAAGAGAUAACCCACAUGGUGGAAUUUUUAGAGACUAUGAAAAACUACGAUUAAUAUUUCAAAGUGGAAAAGACAGACAGCAGCAUGAACAGAUCAGGAAUUUUAGUAUAUACAUGGAAACUGCAAGAAAGAGUGAAAUAGAAAUUCUAUAAAUGAAAAGCCCAACAUCAGAGAUAAGAAUUCCUUUGUCAGAAUCAUCAGUAGUCUUGACACAGCUGAGGUAAUAAUCUGUGAGCCUGAAAAAUAAGUCAUUAAAAAUGAUUCAAACUGAAAAACAAAAAGUAGUGAAAAAAAAGAACUCAGCAUGCAAGAACUCUGGUACAAUAUCAAACAGGCUAACAUAAAUGUAGCUGGUGUCCCACCGGGAGAAGAAAGUAGAGAACAAGGCAGAAGAAAUAUUUGAAGAGAUGGUGACUGAGAAUUUUCCAAAAAUCAUGAAAGAUAGCAAGCCAAAGGUCCAAAUUUGGAAAAACCCCAGGCAGAAUAAAUACUGAGCAAUAUUGACAACAAAAACCCAAAUAAUAAACCAAAUAAACAACAACCCCAUCCACAAAUCUAAACUCAUCAUAUUUGAACUGCUGAAAAUCAAAGAGAAAGAGAAAUCCUGACAACAUCCAGAAGAAAAAAAACCCACGUUAAAUACAGAGGAAUAAAGAUAAGAAAUACAUCAGACUUCCUGUCAGAAACCACAAGCUGGAAGACCACGGUAUGACAUCUUUAAAGUUCUGAAUCCAAAAACUGUCAAUCCAGAAUUCUAUUGACCAUAAAGACAUCUUUCAAAGUCAAGGUGUCAGGGGCUCCGCUGAGCUAGAGAGAGUUGGAAUAGCCAAUGGAGACAAUAAGCCAAAUGAAAAUGACAGUCGAGUCUUUAAUCACUCACCAUCAUAGUAUAAGUAAGAGGCUAAACAAGAGAAAACACUGACUCCUGCAUUCCAUUUUCUGAAAUGGAAUGGUGCCUCAGUUGAGGGUCAGGUACAUUAGCACAGGUGUGGGGAUUGUCUCUCCACUGAGGGAGCCCUGAUCAGGAGGCUUCUGCAAUUUUAUGGAAUCCAGAGGCCAGGGGCAGGGAGAGGGGGAAGGGCCAGAAGUGGAAAAGUACUGAGUACUGAGUCAGUGUGGAUAACAAAGCUUCAAGGUCCCCUCCUCUCUUCCUAAUAAAGCGUUUUCAGCAAAAGUGUCUGAGAAAGGCUUCUGCCAAAAGACUCCAAUAAAGAGGCCUUCGGAGGCUCUUGGACUAGCAAUGCAAAUUUGCAGAAGAGCAUGGGUGGCCAGGUGGCCUGUGUCCUGCACUGCAACUCCCUUCAGAGACUGCAGUGCACUGGCUGCGUACCAAGUCUGGCGUGGGGAGGGCAGCCAGAUAAAGCCUUUAUCAUUGCGUAUGUCCAGGCCUGAAAAAAAUCACACAUAAUUUCUAGUCAGGAGCUGGACUCACUACAAGAAAAAAUAAAGACUCUCUGAGACAAAAGGUCAGAGAAUUCAUUGCCAGCACACUGUGCUACAAAAACAUUAAGGAAGUUCUUUAGGAGGAAGGAAUAUUAUAGUAGAUAGAAUCUACAAAAAAAAAAGUGAAGAGCUCUGGAAAUGGUGAAAAUAAAAGUAAAUAUAAAAACCUAUUUUUCUUUUUUUUUUUUUUUGAGGAAGUUUAGCCCUGAGCUAACAUCUGCCACCAAUCCUCCUCUUUUUGCUGAGGAAGACUGGCCCUGAGCUAACAUCCAUGCCCAUCUUCCUCUUAUACGUGGGAUGCCUACCACAGCACGACUUGAAAAGUGGUGCAUAGGUCUGCACCUGGGAUCCGAACUGGUGAACCUCAGGCCACCAAAGCAGAACGUGCAAACGUUGCUGUGCCACCAGGCUGGCCCCUAUUUUUCUUUUUUAAAAAUGUUCAAAAAUAUAAUUACCUGUCUAAAGGAAAAAUGGUAACAAUAUAUUGUGAGUUUUAUAACGUAUAAAAAUAAACUGUGUGACCACAAUAGUGCAAAGGAUGGGAGGGAGGAAUUGCAAGUAUACUGUUGUAAGAUUCUUACGUUAUAUGUGAAGUGAGCCAAUUCCUUAAAAUAAAUCUUUCUCUAUGUAUAUCCUAUUGGUUCUGUUUCUCUGGAGAACCCUGACUGAU